RNAcentral lists this ribosomal RNA (253 nucleotides) under uncultured bacterium. RNAcentral's name for it is "partial 16S ribosomal RNA". It matches the Rfam family "Bacterial small subunit ribosomal RNA", at positions 524 to 776 of the family's 1533-position model. The record is from RNAcentral.
UACGUAGGGGGCAAGCGUUGGCCGGAUUUAUUGGGCGUAAAGAGCGUGUAGGCGGUUUGGUAGGUCCGCUGUGAAAACUCGAGGCUCAACCUCGAGACGCCGGUGGAAACCAUCAGACUAGAGUCCGGAAGAGGAGAGUGGAAUUCCGGGUGUAGCGGUGGAAUGCGUAGAGAUCCGGAAGAACACCGGUGGCGAAGGCGGUCUGCUGGGCAGUAGCUGACACUGAGGCGCGACAGCGUGGGGAGCAAACAGG